RNAcentral lists this long non-coding RNA (406 nucleotides) under Lotus japonicus. Its description in RNAcentral is "long non-coding RNA (LJAP_LNC000772)". The record is from RNAcentral. Lineage: Eukaryota; Viridiplantae; Streptophyta; Magnoliopsida; Fabales; Fabaceae.
GCGGUUGGGGGAAUGGAGAUCGGCGAAGAUUUGAGAAAUUCGGGUGACCCGGUUUUUCUUCUUGUUCCAUGGAAACGGCAUGGUUUUGGUGAGUUUAAGGAUAGGAAAGGAACAUGGAUUGGAUUAUUAUUAUUAUAAGAUGAAAAUUCUAGAGAAGAAGAAGGUAACGCAUUCCACGGUUGUUGAGUGUGUUGAAAACUAGGGAAUUUGGAUGGAGUGGAUGAGUGAAAAGUUUGGUGUAUUUGGUAUGGUAGUGGUGGCAUGCACAAAAUUAGUUUCUUUUAUGCCAUUCAUGUGCUUAUAUAGUGUGUAUGAUUUGGGAGUUGUUUAACUACACCAUACAUGGUGAGGUAUAAAACAAUUAGUACCACCUUGAAAUUGUAAGAUUUUCUAUGAUUUUUGUUAG